RNAcentral lists this ribosomal RNA (788 nucleotides) under uncultured bacterium. RNAcentral describes it as "bacterial SSU rRNA". It matches the Rfam family "Bacterial small subunit ribosomal RNA", at positions 127 to 916 of the family's 1533-position model. The record is from RNAcentral. RNAcentral also lists the same sequence under 1 other name.
UGCCUCAUACUCGGGAAUAGCCUUGCGAAAGUAAGAUUAAUGCCCGGUGUUUUCAGAGUCCCGCAUGAGGCUUUGAACAAAGAUUUAUCGGUAUGAGAUGGCGAUGCGUCCCAUUAGCUUGUUGGCGGGGUAACGGCCCACCAAGGCAUCGAUGGGUAGGGGUUCUGAGAGGAAGGUCCCCCACAUUGGAACUGAGACACGGUCCAAACUCCUACGGGAGGCAGCAGUGAGGAAUAUUGGUCAAUGGGCGGAAGCCUGAACCAGCCAAGUAGCGUGCAGGAAGACGGCCCUCCGGGUUGUAAACUGCUUUUAGUUGGGAACAAAACGGGGCUCGUGAGCCCCCUUGCAUGUACCAUCAGAAAAAGGACCGGCUAAUUCCGUGCCAGCAGCCGCGGUAAUACGGAAGGUCCGGGCGUUAUCCGGAUUUAUUGGGUUUAAAGGGAGCGCAGGCGGACCUUUAAGUCAGCUGUGAAAUACGGCGGCUCAACCGUCGAACUGCAGUUGAUACUGGAGGUCUUGAGUGCACACAGGGAUGCUGGAAUUCAUGGUGUAGCGGUGAAAUGCUCAGAUAUCAUGAAGAACUCCGAUCGCGAAGGCAGGCAUCCGGGGUGCAACUGACGCUGAGGCUCGAAAGUGCGGGUAUCAAACAGGAUUAGAUACCCUGGUAGUCCGCACAGUAAACGAUGAAUACUCGCGGUUUGCGAUACAAUGUAAGCCGCCAAGCGAAAGCGUUAAGUAUUCCACCUGGGGAGUACGCCGGCAACGGUGCAACUCAAAGGAAUUGACGG